Molecule: ribosomal RNA, 900 nt
Filed under: uncultured bacterium
Lineage: Bacteria
Description: bacterial SSU rRNA
Rfam family: Bacterial small subunit ribosomal RNA
Source: RNAcentral
CAGGAUGAACGCUAGCUACAGGCUUAACACAUGCAAGUCGAGGGGAAACGACAUCGAAAGCUUGCUUUUGAUGGGCGUCGACCGGCGCACGGGUGAGUAACGCGUAUCCAACCUGCCCAUCACUUGGGGAUAACCUUGCGAAAGUAAGACUAAUACCCAAUGACGUCUCUAGAAGACAUCUAAAAGAGAUUAAAGAUUUAUCGGUGAUGGAUGGGGAUGCGUCUGAUUAGCUUGUUGGCGGGGUAACGGCCCACCAAGGCGACGAUCAGUAGGGGUUCUGAGAGGAAGGUCCCCCACAUUGGAACUGAGACACGGUCCAAACUCCUACGGGAGGCAGCAGUGAGGAAUAUUGGUCAAUGGGCGAGAGCCUGAACCAGCCAAGUAGCGUGCAGGAUGACGGCCCUAUGGGUUGUAAACUGCUUUUAUAAGGGAAUAAAGUGAGUCUCGUGAGACUUUUUGCAUGUACCUUAUGAAUAAGGACCGGCUAAUUCCGUGCCAGCAGCCGCGGUAAUACGGAAGGUCCGGGCGUUAUCCGGAUUUAUUGGGUUUAAAGGGAGCGUAGGCCGGAGAUUAAGCGUGUUGUGAAAUGUAGACGCUCAACGUCUGCACUGCAGCGCGAACUGGUUUCCUUGAGUACGCACAAAGUGGGCGGAAUUCGUGGUGUAGCGGUGAAAUGCUUAGAUAUCACGAAGAACUCCGAUUGCGAAGGCAGCUCACUGGAGCGCAACUGACGCUGAAGCUCGAAAGUGCGGGUAUCGAACAGGAUUAGAUACCCUGGUAGUCCGCACGGUAAACGAUGGAUGCCCGCUGUUGGUCUGAAUAGGUCAGCGGCCAAGCGAAAGCAUUAAGCAUCCCACCUGGGGAGUACGCCGGCAACGGUGAAACUCAAAUGAAUUGACG